Molecule: ribosomal RNA, 404 nt
Filed under: uncultured bacterium
Lineage: Bacteria
Description: bacterial SSU rRNA
Rfam family: Bacterial small subunit ribosomal RNA
Source: RNAcentral
UGGGGAAUCUUGCGCAAUGGGCGAAAGCCUGACGCAGCAACGCCGCGUGCGGGAUGACGGCCUUCGGGUUGUAAACCGCUUUCAGUAGGGACGAAAUUGACGGUACCUGCAGAAGAAGCCCCGGCCAACUACGUGCCAGCAGCCGCGGUAAUACGUAGGGGGCGAGCGUUGUCCGGAUUCAUUGGGCGUAAAGAGCUCGUAGGCGGCUUGGCAAGUCGGGUGUGAAAACUUCAGGCUCAACCUGGAGCGGCCACUCGAUACUGCCAUGGCUAGAGUCCGGUAGGGGACCACGGAAUUCCUGGUGUAGCGGUGAAAUGCGCAGAUAUCAGGAGGAACACCGGUGGCGAAGGCGGUGGUCUGGGCCGGAACUGACGCUGAGGAGCGAAAGCGUGGGGAGCGAACAG